Molecule: ribosomal RNA, 1608 nt
Filed under: Salmonella enterica subsp. enterica serovar Kottbus
Lineage: Bacteria; Pseudomonadati; Pseudomonadota; Gammaproteobacteria; Enterobacterales; Enterobacteriaceae
Description: partial 23S ribosomal RNA
Rfam family: Bacterial large subunit ribosomal RNA
Source: RNAcentral
GCUGAUGCGUUGUUGGGUAGGGGAGCGUUCUGUAAGCCUGUGAAGGUGUGUCGUGAGGCAUGCUGGAGGUAUCAGAAGUGCGAAUGCUGACAUAAGUAACGAUAAAGCGGGUGAAAAGCCCGCUCGCCGGAAGACCAAGGGUUCCUGUCCAACGUUAAUCGGGGCAGGGUGAGUCGACCCCUAAGGCGAGGCCGAAAGGCGUAGUCGAUGGGAAACGGGUUAAUAUUCCCGUACUUGGUGUUACUGCGAAGGGGGGACGGAGAAGGCUAUGUUGGCCGGGCGACGGUUGUCCCGGUUUAAGCGUGUAGGUGUGUGUUCCAGGUAAAUCCGGUUCACUUUAACACUGAGGCGUGACGACGAGGCACUACGGUGCUGAAGCAACAAAUGCCCUGCUUCCAGGAAAAGCCUCUAAGCAUCAGGUAACAUCAAAUCGUACCCCAAACCGACACAGGUGGUCAGGUAGAGAAUACCAAGGCGCUUGAGAGAACUCGGGUGAAGGAACUAGGCAAAAUGGUGCCGUAACUUCGGGAGAAGGCACGCUGACACGUAGGUGAAGUGAUUUACUCACGGAGCUGAAGUCAGUCGAAGAUACCAGCUGGCUGCAACUGUUUAUUAAAAACACAGCACUGUGCAAACACGAAAGUGGACGUAUACGGUGUGACGCCUGCCCGGUGCCGGAAGGUUAAUUGAUGGGGUCAGCGCAAGCGAAGCUCCUGAUCGAAGCCCCGGUAAACGGCGGCCGUAACUAUAACGGUCCUAAGGUAGCGAAAUUCCUUGUCGGGUAAGUUCCGACCUGCACGAAUGGCGUAAUGAUGGCCAGGCUGUCUCCACCCGAGACUCAGUGAAAUUGAACUCGCUGUGAAGAUGCAGUGUACCCGCGGCAAGACGGAAAGACCCCGUGAACCUUUACUAUAGCUUGACACUGAACAUUGAGCCUUGAUGUGUAGGAUAGGUGGGAGGCUUUGAAGUGUGGACGCCAGUCUGCAUGGAGCCGACCUUGAAAUACCACCCUUUAAUGUUUGAUGUUCUAACGUGGACCCGUUACCCGGGUUGCGGACAGUGUCUGGUGGGUAGUUUGACUGGGGCGGUCUCCUCCUAAAGAGUAACGGAGGAGCACGAAGGUUGGCUAAUCCUGGUCGGACAUCAGGAGGUUAGUGCAAUGGCAUAAGCCAGCUUGACUGCGAGCGUGACGGCGCGAGCAGGUGCGAAAGCAGGUCAUAGUGAUCCGGUGGUUCUGAAUGGAAGGGCCAUCGCUCAACGGAUAAAAGGUACUCCGGGGAUAACAGGCUGAUACCGCCCAAGAGUUCAUAUCGACGGCGGUGUUUGGCACCUCGAUGUCGGCUCAUCACAUCCUGGGGCUGAAGUAGGUCCCAAGGGUAUGGCUGUUCGCCAUUUAAAGUGGUACGCGAGCUGGGUUUAGAACGUCGUGAGACAGUUCGGUCCCUAUCUGCCGUGGGCGCUGGAGAACUGAGGGGGGCUGCUCCUAGUACGAGAGGACCGGAGUGGACGCAUCACUGGUGUUCGGGUUGUCAUGCCAAUGGCACUGCCCGGUAGCUAAAUGCGGAAGAGAUAAGUGCUGAAAGCAUCUAAGCACGAAACUUGCCCCGA